CAAUAAGUAGGUUAGUGGUAUUGUAGUUAUUAGACCGAGAGGAAAGUAGGUCAUAGAGGCUGUAUAAUCAUACCGCCGUCCAUAUUCGCCUGAUCAUACAUGCGCUUUUCAUGUAAGUAAGACAUGUUUGGUUUAUAAACACGCUGAAAUGUGCUGUCUGUUGUUUAUAUGUAAAUACGGCUGUACGCCUUGUUAAUUAAUUCCCUAAUCACCGCGAGAUAGGCUACUUUAGAUAGGUACGAGGCAACAAUCAUUUUCCACAUUCUCAAAAUGUAAUAUUUCUGUCACGGUGGUGCUUACAAAAUUAGUACUACAGAAACAUUUGCUUCGCACUCGCACUUCUUUUUUUAAAUCCAUGUCAGGUUAUAUGAGGUCAAAUGUCUCGGAGUAAGAAGUCAAUGUGUUCAUUUUGAAUCAUAACGCCGAUUACAGUGACUGUGUCAUAUUUCUGAUGAAUUUUUUUCCCGUUGUGACUGUAUGUGCGACACGUCCCGGUGCGGUGGGGCAGGAGUCAGGACAGUAAGCUCACAUGCCCUUUUCCUCAGGUCCAGUGCCUGUUUUGUGUAUUUCCGCAGAAGCCAGUGCUGUUUUUUGAGGUACGUGGAUAUUUGGAAACAGUGUGUGGAAUUAAUGUCCCCAACAAAUUUAAAAGGAUAGUCUGUGAGAAAGGUCCAUUUAAUUACAUUUUACUCCCCAGUUCUCAUUACUGUAAUGCUUAUUCUUAUUACUGACAAAAGAUUUAUGUAUACAUUUUGAAGCAUUUUUUUCAUCAUGGUGUCAUUUCUUGUACUGCUUUUAAUCCUUUUUAAUAAUAAUAAAAAAGGUGUAUUACACUAAUGAGAAUUGGGGAGUAAAAUGUACAUAAUUUUUCUAAAGCAGGGUUUCUGCAGGAGGCUCAUUUGUUGAUAAAAAGCUCAUUAAUAAGGCUAAUUGGGCUACACAAUUAAUCAAAAUAAAACUGAAAUACAAAUAUAUAUUUUAUCGAAUCAUGAUUAUCAAAUUAAAUGCUGCAAUUUAAUUAAAUAUGUAUUAAGUCUUUGCAUGUUUUAGAGUGAAGAGCAACACUGUGUUCAUUUACACUGUGUUUAUAGGCUCGGUUCAUAGUAAAUGCUGUUUAAAAAACGUAAUCUCUGCAAGUUCUGUAAGUUUAAUGUGCAUUUGGGUACAGAAUGUGCACUUGAUUCACUUUAUUUACAUUGGCAUUUGCAUAAUUAUAAACUUUUUGUGGAUAGUUUAGCCUACAGCAUUUCACCAACAUUCCACCAAAAUAAUGGCUUGAGGAUUUGAUAUGUCAAAAACUUGAGGGUCACAGCAAUAGCAAUAUGAGCCAUUUUUAUUUUUGAAAUGUAAUGUCAUAUCUAUUCCCAUCGCUGAGUCAGGCAUUCUAUAACUCAAAAUUAUCGCAAAAUUAUACUUAAAAAAAAAUAAAAUAAAUAAAUUGUUGGGUUGAAAUGAGACUUAUCGAUAGGUUUUUUGAGAUUCACCCUCACCCAUUCACUUUGAAUAUAUGGUAAAGAGCAGCGUGAACAUUCAGCUAAAGUUCUCCUUAUGUGUUCAUCAAAAGAAAAUCAUUAGGGUUUGUAUAAACCUGGGCGAUAAAACGGUAUCGAUAUUUAUCGACGUUACACCUUUUUCGAUAUCGAUAGAAAACAUUUUCAAUAUAAUGCAUGAUAUAGGCACAUGCUAAGAGUGACGCAGACAGCACACACGAACACGAACACAUGCUGAAUUGAGGGCUGUGCCUGCCUGUGAUGAGAAGAUUGUGAAUAAAGAAUGAAUAUUAGUUGAAUUUAAAAUAAACAUUUGCAUUUGAAUGUUAGGUGGUCAGUCGGGGCGCGCGAGAUGUGGCGAUGAUGUAAGUGUCAUUGUUGCAUUUUAAUGUUUUGUUAGUCUAGCCCACGAGACGCGCCAUGCGUUAUUCAUUCAAAAUAUUAGAGAAAUAUAGAAGAAGCAAAGAAGAUCUUGAUAAAGGUUAAAACCGAAACCAAGCCAUUCACACAGAACGCAUAUUCAGCGCAUCUUUAGAUGGACAAACAUGACUGCUGCACUCGCGUCUCACACAAGAGUUGUAUAGAAAGCCAUGCAAAGUUAAAAGUUUAAACUUUUAGAAAACACGUACAAAUUUGUGGAGGUUUAUUCCUUUUCACUGCGUCUCAUAUGUUUUUAAAUGCAGUCUGUGUGAAUGGCGCUUCGGCUCUUUAGAUUAAGCAGUGCAUAAAUACAUGAUGCUGUUUUGUUCAUAAUUGUUUAUGCAAUUUACGAAAUUAUAUUUGAUUUUUAUGAGUUAAUUUAGACGUUAUGCACGUUUUUAUAGAGUUACUUCCUUGCGUUGACAAUUUAAAUGUGCUACAUUAUUUUACUCCUCCUUUUUACUCCUUUUACCCUCCUGUGGCCUCGGGAGACAACACAAAAGUUUCCUUAAG
Molecule: long non-coding RNA, 2423 nt
Organism: Sinocyclocheilus grahami
Lineage: Eukaryota; Metazoa; Chordata; Actinopteri; Cypriniformes; Cyprinidae
Source: Ensembl